AUUCAAACUUAUCAAGCAUAACUAAGGUUGUUUGGGACCUCUCCAUUAAUUGCCAGCUCCUUAAGAUCUGUAAAUCUUCCCUGAGAAUGCUAGAAGAGAUAUGAUCUGUAUUAGAGAUGAUGUAACACACAAGAUAGCAAAAAUGUAUCUCCUUGAAAUAGAAUUAUAUAUAUAAUUGUAGAAUUUCCCUCAUUUCAUACAUUUUCCUCAGUUUUCAAGGAUGUUUCCUUUAAUAUCAAAUCUAAGCAGUUGGAUUUAUAUGCAGUAAGCCCUCAAUGAUACUCAUGCCUCCUCCAUCUUUACCUGUCUGCUGUGAUUAACUCCUUAAUCUCCCAUGAUCUGAGGCCUUUUCCUGAUCUCUUUCCCAUCUUCCUCCUCUCAUUAGACUUGAGGCUGAAAAGGAUGAUUAACCGUCUCGUAACUAUGUGGAUGUUUCUCAUACUAACACAGGCAAUUGUUUCUUAAGUAGAAAGUAGAUUCUCAGUUACAAACUUUAAGGAUUAUUUUACAGUUAGCAAUUCAAAGAAACUACCGAUUAGCUAUUUUAAAUCUUCACUACAAAGAAACAGAAUUUCCAUAUAUAGUUACCACUGGAUAAGAUACAUUUCAUAAAGUCAGCAAUGAGAAGAUGAAAGAAAAUAGUUUUAUUCUCUUUAGAGCUGAAAACACAAAACAAUCCUGAGAGCUUUUCAGCAGUUACAAAUACAGUGUGUUCUUUGGAUGUCAGGGCGAUCUGGUUGCCACAUCUGUCACCCCAUUGAUCGCCAGGGUUGAUUCGGCUGAUCUGGCUGGCUAGGCGGGUGUCCCCUUCCUCCCUCACGGCUCCAUGUGUGUCCCUCCCGAAGCUGCGCGCUCUGUCGAAGAGGACGACCAUCCCCGAUAGAGGAGGACCGUCAUGUAGAGGAAGAGG
Molecule: long non-coding RNA, 910 nt
Organism: Cervus elaphus (red deer)
Lineage: Eukaryota; Metazoa; Chordata; Mammalia; Artiodactyla; Cervidae
Exons: 3
Source: RefSeq, a predicted model, not a curated record